RNAcentral lists this transfer RNA (68 nucleotides) under Zaglossus bruijni (long-beaked echidna). Its description in RNAcentral is "transfer RNA-Asp". Lineage: Eukaryota; Metazoa; Chordata; Mammalia; Monotremata; Tachyglossidae. The record is from RNAcentral.
AAAGUGUUAGUUAAUAAAUAACAUAGCCUUGUCAUAGCUAAGUAACAAAUCUAAUUUUGUACACUUUA